GUCUUCGUGGAGUGAUCAUUGUGACUCGCUCCCACCUGUUGAUGAAUGCUGAACGCAGCCACGGGAGAGUCGGUGGUUCGAAUCCACCCGAAGACG
Molecule: non-coding RNA, 96 nt
Organism: Mycena rebaudengoi
Lineage: Eukaryota; Fungi; Basidiomycota; Agaricomycetes; Agaricales; Mycenaceae
Source: the annotation of a GenBank genome assembly